GCUCUCCCUCUGUUUAGUUUGCACUGGUGGGUUGUGGGGAAUUGAUGCUAAGAAAGGAAAGCUUUGAAAAAAAUGAGAAUUUGAAAUAUGAAACAAAAUGACAAUUCUGUAAGAUCUAAAAGUAUCUGUUUCAAUAAUCUUAACUACCUGAAAUGUAUAGAACUAAACUGAGAUGCCAUUAAGGAACUCAGCUACCCAGUGGUAAAGCUGGUAAAGCUGGGAGGAUUGAUGGAACAUUGCUAGUAGCCAUUACUGGAGAAGUAACAACAUAAGUGAAUCUUCAAACACCUGCAAGUUAAAAUUGCAUACUUAAUCAGUAUGCCAGUUAUUAAGCUAUUGACUUUCACUCUUAACUUGGCUUGCUUUUUUAUUUUUUUUUUAAUUUUUUUUGAGAUGGAGUCUUGCUCUAUCACCCACGCUGGAGUGCAGCGGCGCGAUCUCGGCUCACUGCAAGCUCCGCCUCCCGGGUUCACGUGAUUCUCCUGCCUCAGCUUCCCGAGAAGCUGGGACUACAGGCGUCCGCCAUCAUGCCCGGCUAAUUUUUAUAUUUUUAGUAGAUACAGGGUUUCACCAGGUUGGCAAGGCUGGUUUCAAACUCCUGACACCAAGUGAUCCGCCUCGGUCCCCCAAAGUGCUUGGAUUAUUGGCAUGAGCCACCGCUCCUGGCCUGAACUUGGCUUUCUAAACUCCGUUUUGUGUUGCUGGGAUUUGGACUAUGGAAACCUCAGUUUCUCAUUCAACAACUGGUUCCUUGCGAUAUUCUACCGACAGGGAGACAUAGAAAGAGAUGGAAAGAUGAAAAAGAAAAGACAUGCCCUGUUUGUUUGUUAUGCUUGUCAACAUUGCCUCUGCAAUAUCCCUUCAACUUUUUACUAAUUCCCAUUCUAGCGUUUUUCGUAUUCUCGGCACCAGCUGGACAAUGCCAUCGCCAUCCCCCCAGAGGUUUUACCUGUCUCCUGUUCUCGUUGCUUCUGGACCAAUAAUUAAGAUUGACUCUACAUGGCCCAAAUGAAGAAAUGAAAGGAAAUGGAUCAUUCACCAAAGGAUCUGCAGAACUUUGCUAAUAUUUACCAGAAGUAACCAGAAGGAUAUGCAAGCGUAUCCUGAUCAUCAUCUACUAGAACAGCAAGAGAAGGGAAUGAAUAGAGGGAUACAAGUGAAAUAAGAUGGAAGAGAAAGGGGAAUAAAGAGAAGAAAUGAAAAAAAUCUUUUUGCGAG
Gorilla gorilla gorilla (western lowland gorilla) is the source of this 1218-nucleotide long non-coding RNA. RefSeq lists it as uncharacterized. The record is from RefSeq and is a predicted model, not a curated record. The transcript is spliced from 4 exons. NCBI's taxonomy places the organism in Eukaryota, Metazoa, Chordata, Mammalia, Primates, Hominidae.